This 422-nucleotide ribosomal RNA is filed under the name uncultured Pseudomonas sp. Its description in RNAcentral is "bacterial SSU rRNA". It matches the Rfam family "Bacterial small subunit ribosomal RNA", at positions 146 to 563 of the family's 1533-position model. The record is from RNAcentral. Lineage: Bacteria; Pseudomonadati; Pseudomonadota; Gammaproteobacteria; Pseudomonadales; Pseudomonadaceae.
ACGUUUCGAAAGGAACGCUAAUACCGCAUACGUCCUACGGGAGAAAGCAGGGGACCUUCGGGCCUUGCGCUAUCAGAUGAGCCUAGGUCGGAUUAGCUAGUUGGUGAGGUAAUGGCUCACCAAGGCGACGAUCCGUAACUGGUCUGAGAGGAUGAUCAGUCACACUGGAACUGAGACACGGUCCAGACUCCUACGGGAGGCAGCAGUGGGGAAUAUUGGACAAUGGGCGAAAGCCUGAUCCAGCCAUGCCGCGUGUGUGAAGAAGGUCUUCGGAUUGUAAAGCACUUUAAGUUGGGAGGAAGGGUUGUAGAUUAAUACUCUGCGAUUUUGACGUUACCGACAGAAUAAGCACCGGCUAACUCUGUGCCAGCAGCCGCGGUAAUACAGAGGGUGCAAGCGUUAAUCGGAAUUACUGGGCGUAA